RNAcentral lists this ribosomal RNA (427 nucleotides) under uncultured bacterium. RNAcentral describes it as "partial 16S ribosomal RNA". It matches the Rfam family "Bacterial small subunit ribosomal RNA", at positions 354 to 796 of the family's 1533-position model. The record is from RNAcentral.
GUGGGGAAUAUUGGGCAAUGGGGGAAACCCUGACCCAGCGACGCCGCGUGAGGGAAGAAGGCCUUAGGGUCGUAAACCUCUGUUGUGUGGGAAGAAGAGCGUGACGGUACCACACGAGGAAGUCCCGGCUAACUACGUGCCAGCAGCCGCGGUAAUACGUAGGGGACGAGCGUUGUCCGGAUUUACUGGGCGUAAAGGGCGCGUAGGCGGUCAUUUAAGUCAGCUGUGAAAUGGUGUGGCUUAACCGGAUCAUGCGGUUGAAACUGGAUGACUGGAGUGCUGGAGAGGCAAGUGGAAUUCCCAGUGUAGCGUUGAAAUGCGUAGAUAUUGGGAAGAACACCGGUGGCGAAGGCGACUUGCUGGCCAGCAACUGACGCUGAGGCGCGAAAGCCAGGGGAGCAAACGGGAUUAGAAACCCCAGUAGUCC